This 55-nucleotide transfer RNA is filed under the name Neofoleyellides sp. XM-2022. Its description in RNAcentral is "tRNA-Cys". Lineage: Eukaryota; Metazoa; Nematoda; Chromadorea; Rhabditida; Onchocercidae. The record is from RNAcentral.
AAGUUUUUAGUAUAAGAUGUUAUAAAUAAUUGCAAAUUAUUAGAUAAAAAACUUU